Molecule: ribosomal RNA, 297 nt
Filed under: uncultured archaeon
Lineage: Archaea
Description: partial 16S ribosomal RNA
Rfam family: Archaeal small subunit ribosomal RNA
Source: RNAcentral
GCAUUUAUGCGGGGACCGUGACAGGGGGAUCCCAAGUGCUCAUGCAUUGCAUGGGCUGUUCUUUGGUCUAAGUAACCAGAGGAGUAAGGGCUGGGCAAGACCGGUGCCAGCCGCCGCGGUAAUACCGGCAGCUCAAGUGGUAGCCGCGAUUAUUGGGCCUAAAACGUUCGUAGCCGGAUAAGUAAGUCUUUGGUUAAAUCCUGCGACUCAACCGUGGGAAUUCUAGAGAUACUGCUUGUCUUGAGACCGGGAGAGGUUGGAGGUACUCCUAGGGUAGGGGUGAAAUCCUGUAAUACA